Molecule: ribosomal RNA, 477 nt
Filed under: uncultured Planctomycetales bacterium
Lineage: Bacteria; Pseudomonadati; Planctomycetota; Planctomycetia; Planctomycetales
Description: bacterial SSU rRNA
Rfam family: Bacterial small subunit ribosomal RNA
Source: RNAcentral
UUCGCAAUGCCCGAAAGGGUGACGAAGCGACGCCGCGUGCGGGAAGAAGGCCUUCGGGUUGUAAACCGCUGUCGGGAGUUAAGAAAUGUAAGGAUGUUAAUAGCAUCUUUGCUUGACUAAGGCUCCGGAGGAAGCCGCGGCUAACUCUGUGCCAGCAGCCGCGGUAAUACAGAGGCGGCAAGCGUUGUUCGGAAUUAUUGGGCGUAAAGAGCACGUAGGCGGCUAUGUAAGUCGGUUGUGAAAGCCUUCCGCUCAACGGGAGAACAGCAUCCGAUACUGCAUGGCUUGAGUGCGGGAGGGGAGAGUGGAACUUCUGGUGGAGCGGUGAAAUGCGUAGAUAUCAGAAGGAACGCCGGCGGCGAAAGCGGCUCUCUGGCCCAUAACUGACGCUGAGUGUGCGAAAGCUAGGGGAGCAAACGGGAUUAGAUACCCCGGUAGUCCUAGCCGUAAACGAUGGGCACUAAGUAGAGGGGUUUU